UUUUUUUUUUUUUUUUNUUUUUCAUUUUUUGGCUGCCCUGUGGAAUAUGGAGUUUCUGAACCAGGGAUCAGAUCCAAGCCUAGUUGUGACCUAAGCCACAGUUCUGGCAAUGCCGGUUCCUUAACCCACUGUGCCAGACUGGGGAUAAACCUAUGUCUUAUUGCUUCCAAGAUGCAGCCAAACCCAUUGUGCCACAGUGGGAACUCCUGCUGGUAUUUUAUUAUUGCAGCCAAAGCAGACUAAUACACCAGCAAAUAAUUAUGCUAUUUAUACAUAUAUAUUAAAUAAAUGAAAUAAAUUUAAUAUAUAAUUAUUUUGGCUUGUAUCUAAAGCUACAUGUAAGGCAGGGAAGGGGCAUGGAUUAGAAAUAACUAGAUGCUAAGGUUAAGUAAGGAUGGAUUGUGAGCUUAAAAAUCCAAUUUCUCAUUUUCCAUUUAUGUUAUCGAGAUGUGUGAUUGGAAUAGGUAAAAUGCCCAUCUGUGAGCUUGCCUUGUUUUCUAUUAUAGGUCUUUAUCAGUUUCACUUUGGAGUAAAAAAUAUGCUGAUAGGAUUGGUGACUCACCAGUUCCUAUUCAUUUUGUUUCUUUAGCAUCUCUUAAAAAACACUCUUCCUUUCUUUUCCAUUUGAGAACUCAUUUUCCUGCUUUUAAUCUUCCUUAGAAACCUUCCUUCACAUUUAAUACACAUGCAGUCAUUUACUUCUCUGCUUAAACACUUGUGUUAAAAUCCUUUAUUCUGUGGAAAAUUUCACAAGCAAGAUACUCCUCAAAGGCUGAGACCACAGUUUGGACAUGGAUUAAUUUUCAUAUGAUUCUUUGUUCCUCAAACGUUUUGUGGCUCCCUGCCUUUAUAUAAGUUGUCCCCUGAGUCUGGAAUGCCCUUGGUGUCCCUCCUGGAGUGAGUUCCCUUUUUAUAGAUCUCAGCAUUCACAGAUUGUUUUGAAAUAUCUGUUGAUCUGUUCAUCCUGUGGGCCAGGUUGAACCCUUUUGUGGCAGUGUUUGCUAGAGACAUUUGUCAGAUCACCACCUGCAAUGGAACCAUCUUAAAAAUGCUGCUUCCUGGAUACCCUCCAGUCAUACUGACUGAGAACAUUUUAGGGUACAGUCUGGGAAUCUGCAUUUUAAGCAGCAAGCUGUGGUGAUUCUGAAUGGGAGCCCCUCUGCCGUGGAGGAGUGGGAGCAAGUUCACUCAUCUUCUUGAGUCUCUGCCUUUGGUAGGUUAGAAAAAACAUACCAGGAAAGUUAGGAAGAACAGUAAAAUAGAUUUUAAAAAGAAGUCCAGCAAGUUGAAAAAUGCCACUAGAUUUACUAAAAUGCCAACAUUGUUUGACAAUAAGGUGAAUUUACAAACCCUCCGAAAUUCAAGUCUUCGAGAUAUUGGUACAAUUUUGUAUUACUCUGGAAUAGAUAUCUAUGUGAUCAAAUGUCCUUUGUGUUCUUUUGUAAUAAAUGUCAGGAUGACAAAAAAGUAUAGGGACUCUCUCUACUUAGCACUAACGUAAAAGGGGAUUUGAAAUUCCUAGGAGGGCACAACUGCCAUUUUCAUCUGUUGUGACUUCUUGGAUGUUUAGAAGUCUGAAGGGAAUUGUUGGCCAUUGAAAUGGAUGUAAAGCUGUGGAGUCUCAUUAAGUCGGGAUGCUUGGUGAAGAGAAAGGUAGACAGAGAUUUUUCAGCUUCUGAUAACUGGCAUAGAUGACUUUGUAAACUGGCUCUUCAUUAUCUGCAGAAUUGGAUUAAGGAUCCAGUGUUGCUGCAGCUGUGGUGUACGUGGAAGCUGUGGCUCAGAUUCAGUACCUGGCCCAGGAACUUCUGUAUGCUGUGGGUAUGGCUAUAGAAGUUAAAAAAAAAAAAAUAAAAAAAUAAAUAGAGAUACAAAGCUUAUGAAAACAAUCUUCAAAUUAUUUUUUAAAAAAGAUUUCUCAGUGUACUCUAAAACUACAUUAAGGACUUUUUUCUUUAUGUCUUAUAAUUUAGGUAUAUUGUCUUAUUGCAAAGUGAAAGAGUAGUGGACUCCUUUGUCUUGGAGAUGGAGUCCUGGAUUUGAAUCCUGGCUUUGCUCUUUGCUGAAGGCCUUGUAGUGAGAAAGUUUCCUUAUUCUCUAAGAGAUUGCUUUCUGUUUUGUAAAAUGAGGCUAGACAUUAGUUUCCUCUACUUCCCUCAGAGUAAUGAUAAUGAGAUUGGGUAAAAAAGAUUAUAUAUGAGAAUGUGUUAUAAAUGAUAAAAUGCUAAUAAAUCGGUGAUUUUAAGAAAUUUAGUGUUAUCUGUCCUUACCAAAGAAUGAAGUUUCGAGUAAAUAGUCUGAUUUACAGUUGAUUAUAGCUUAACAUUUUAGCCAUGAAAGAAAAUCAUUUUUAUCUAUUUUGUGUCUUACAGGUUUUAAAAAAAGUUUUCUUUGCAGAUAUGAACCUAUUGGGAAAUGAUUUUCUCUAUUUACUUAUCUAUUGGAAAUAUGCAGUAAUUGAGAUCAACUUUUGUUUUAAAUACUUAAGAGAAAUUGGUAUUUUAAAUAGCAGAAUCAUGCCUUUUAUUUUGUACUUGACAAUUUAUUAAAGAUUGGCUGGCUGGCUACUACCUAGAAAGUUUGAAGAAAAUUAAUCAGAUUUGCUACUCAGGAAAGAAUCAUGCUUUUUGUUUAAAAAAAAUGGUUGGAGGUUUCAUUUUAAACUUUAACAAGUCUAAAUGAAGGAUGUAGAAUAUAGUUAAGAAGAAAGUAUUAUACUACGAAUAGUUCUUUCCUAUUCUCUUAUAUUUUUGCUUUCCCCCAUCCCACUCUCCACCCCCACCUCUUAGAGAAUGGACAGCUAUUUCCCUUCAUAUCCUAAUGAGCAAGGCCCACUGCUUCACUACUAUUUCUCUUUUCCUUCCUCUCCUUCCUUGGAAGGAAAAAUG
RNAcentral lists this long non-coding RNA (2888 nucleotides) under Sus scrofa (pig). Its description in RNAcentral is "lncRNA (ENSSSCG00035011663.1)". Lineage: Eukaryota; Metazoa; Chordata; Mammalia; Artiodactyla; Suidae. The record is from RNAcentral.